Long non-coding RNA from Beta vulgaris subsp. vulgaris (sugar beet), 1863 nucleotides. RefSeq lists it as uncharacterized. The transcript has 3 exons. NCBI's taxonomy places the organism in Eukaryota, Viridiplantae, Streptophyta, Magnoliopsida, Caryophyllales, Amaranthaceae. The record is from RefSeq and is a predicted model, not a curated record.
CUCUCCUCUCUCCUCUCUCCUCUCUUUGUCCUCUGAUCUUCCCAGCCACCACUCUCUCGCCUCAUGAAACCCUAACUCGCUCUCUCAAACGUCCACUCUCAUUUUCUUCGAUCUUCGUCCCCUCUAAAUUCCUUGUCACUAAAUCCCUCAUUUCUCAUCCUCUCAUUCAAGUGAUCGGAUUUUUCGCAGACCCAGCACAAAAUGGACCAACAUCAAACAGGAUUAAGAUUGCUCCGUCGCCGUCAAGGUUUUCAGCCAUAGAUUUCUCCCUUCUCGAUUUCACUAUGGUCUGAUUUUGUCUCUCUUCUUCUCUAAUUUCUUGCUUUGUGAGUUUUUGUAGUGUGAGAAUCGAAUUCUAGGGUUUAUAUUUCGUGUUUGAGUAAUCAUGAACUAAUUAAUUUGCUGAAUUGCUUUGUUGGAGGCAUUUUUUUAUCUUAAUUUAAUGAAGUGAUUAUAAACUGAUUAAAAAUUCCGAUCAUGAACUGAGUAAAACAUUCUUAAAAAAAAAUGCUUUUUAAAAAUCAAUUCAAGUACUUCGACUUUGAAGAAUGUUCAGUUUUGCAAUUUUUUUGAUUUUUUCGAAUUAAUGGAAUUAGGGUACUUGAAUUGAUUUUUAUGAUAUGAUAGUAUUGCCCUAGAAUUCCAAUUUAGGAUGGUUGGGGUUUGUUGCUGGUGUUUGUUGACAAUUUGAGGACUUUUUUUCUUCUUCUUAAAAGCUGAAUUUUCUAGUUAUAUGUUUUAUGAGCUCUAUGCCUCUAUCUUCUUCAUUCAAUCAAAGUUGUGGUCUUUAAUUUUGUGGGAUUAAUUGGUAAUUCCUAUUUAGGUUGCCAUAAAGAAAGGUAUGCCGAUUUUAAGUUCAUGAUACACAUUUUUGUUCUAUUUAAUUUCUUACUCAUUGAAAUUUAAUCAUUUUUUUUCAAAUGGUACUAGUUUGGUCAUUAAUUAUUUUGAUUCAAUUUUUAAUAUACUAACUGUAUUUUGAGGUUUUGAAUUUGGUUAAAUGAAGAUUUUCAUUGGCAUGGAUUUGUCGUUUAACAAUAUAUAAAUCUUACUGAUCUUACGCUAAGGAUUUUUAGCAAAAGGAUACAUGUAUAACCUUUCUAUUGCUAAAACUAUUCAUAACUCUUCAGUCUUUUCUCCAACCUUGUAACUUGUGUUUAUGGUGUUGGUCUCUGUUUUUCGGUGUGCUUAUGUGAUUAGUGCCAUUUGUUACGUGGUAAAUUACGAAAAUUAAGUUUCAUUACCUUAUUUUCAAGUGACAAAGGAAUCCCUUAGGUUGCAGGUAGCUAUUUAAUGCUUAAAUUGAUUCAUAUGCUUACAUCUAAUCUUAAUGGUAAUUAGUUCUCUAACUCCUUAUGCCCCCCCCCCCCAAAAAAAAAAUGAGAUUCCAGAUGGUGAAUCUGCUUAUCACAAAUCUGGAAGAAAGCAACAACCAACAUUAGCAUUGCUUGGCCAUUUCUCAACAUUGUGACCACUGCUCUUGAAAAGAUGCGAAGUUUUAGUUACUUAACAAGAUUCAAGACGUAAAUGAGCUAUCAAGAUAAGAAAGAAAUGGCAUAAUCAAAACCUUUACUGAUAAGACUCGUGUUUCUUCAUUAGACAAUACAAACACAAGGCUGUAUAUAGCAAUGGUAGAGAUGUGUCAGAUAGUUAGCGACUGAGAUCAGCUGGUCACUUUAUUACUUCUAAAGUGUAGAAGUUGAACAUUAUACUUUUUUUUUUGUAAAAGUUUACUGCUAUGUCAUACUUCAUUUUUUUUGUAACAGAACGUUAUUCUAAAGUGUAGAGGUUGAACUAUUUCAUGGAGCUCAAGAUCUAAAGAAACUAGACUGUAUGCAAAGAUCAACAAGAAAGUUAUUGGAA